AGCUCCAAUCGCGUAUAUUAAAGUUGUUGCAGUUAAAAAGCUCGUAGUUGGAUCUCGGGUUGUCGGCAGGGGUUCUGGUCACAUGGCCUGUCUACUCUUGCCGAUACCUAACCGGUGGGUGUGGGCUGAGGCUCUUCACGGGGUCUUGGUUUCCUUGGCAGUGGGUGCCCUUAGCUGGGUCGCCUACUACCCCCACCCGAUUUACUUUGAAAAAAUUAGAGUGUUCAAGGCAGGCCUUCACGCCUGAAUAAUGGUGCAUGGAAUAAUAGAAUAGGAUCUCGGUUCUAUUUUGUUGGUUUUCGGAACUAGAGAUAAUGAUUAAGAGGGACAGACGGGGGCAUUCGUAUUGCGGUGUUAGAGGUGAAAUUCUUGGAUCGCCGCAAGACGAACUACUGCGAAAGCAUUUGCCAAGAAUGUUUUCA
Molecule: ribosomal RNA, 422 nt
Filed under: uncultured eukaryote
Lineage: Eukaryota
Description: SSU rRNA
Rfam family: Eukaryotic small subunit ribosomal RNA
Source: RNAcentral